GGCUGGUCUGAUGGUAGUAGGUUAUCAGUACUUAUUAACAUUAAUGUCACUAAAGUUGGUAUACAACCUCCCACUGCUAAAUUUGACUGGCUUAAA
Molecule: Y RNA, 96 nt
Filed under: Prolemur simus (greater bamboo lemur)
Lineage: Eukaryota; Metazoa; Chordata; Mammalia; Primates; Lemuridae
Description: Y RNA (ENSPSMG00000001947.1)
Rfam family: Y RNA
About the family: Y RNAs are components of the Ro ribonucleoprotein particle (Ro RNP), in association with Ro60 and La proteins. The Y RNAs and Ro60 and La proteins are well conserved, but the function of the Ro RNP is not known.
Source: Rfam by way of RNAcentral